RNAcentral lists this ribosomal RNA (392 nucleotides) under uncultured organism. Its description in RNAcentral is "bacterial SSU rRNA". It matches the Rfam family "Bacterial small subunit ribosomal RNA", at positions 45 to 433 of the family's 1533-position model. The record is from RNAcentral.
GGCUUAACACAUGCAAGUCGAGGGGCAGCACGGGUAGCAAUACCUGGUGGCGACCGGCAAACGGGUGCGGAACACGUACACAAUCUACCUUUAUCUGGGGUAUAGCCCGAAGAAAUUCGGAUUAAUCCCCCAUAAGAUAUUAGAGUGGCAUCACUUAGAUAUUAAAACUCCGGUGGAUAAAGAUGAGUGUGCGUCCCAUUAGCUAGUUGGUAGGGUAACGGCCUACCAAGGCAACGAUGGGUAGCUGGUGUGAGAGCACGACCAGCCACACGGGCACUGAGACACGGGCCCGACUCCUACGGGAGGCAGCAGUGAGGAAUAUUGGUCAAUGGACGCAAGUCUGAACCAGCCAUGCCGCGUGAAGGAUGAAGGCCUUCUGGGUUGUAAACUUC